Molecule: long non-coding RNA, 5183 nt
Organism: Manis pentadactyla (Chinese pangolin)
Lineage: Eukaryota; Metazoa; Chordata; Mammalia; Pholidota; Manidae
Exons: 3
Source: RefSeq, a predicted model, not a curated record
CAGAUGCACCGACGCGCGGCAGCAGCGCUGCCGAGGUGACGGCGGCGCUGGGAUCCCUGCCGCGCCGGCCCGGCCUGGGUGGAAGCCCGAAGGCUGUCCCUGGAAACGCAGACGCGCCGGUUAGCUGUUGGGGUGCCCGCGCCUCCCCGCACGCGCCGCGGAGCGCCGAGGGCACCUGCUAACGGAGCUGACCUGAGCGGGGGUUUGAACGACUCCAUUUUAAAAAACGGCCCGCCGCCAGGUCACACGAGGGGACGGGGCGCUCCCGCGCUGCGGCCUCGGUCGGCGCUCGGCAGGGGUCGCCGCCCGCCCUCCUCAACCGGCUGAGGUGAUGCCUUCGCCGCGGGGAGGCGAGGGACGCGACAGCUACGUGCCCAGUGGAGUCCUGAACCGGCUUCCAUUCAUGGCUCUCAGUGCUUGGCUUUGAAGUAGAGAAAGAAGCUUGGUACUCAUUAGCAGCCACUACCUGCACCUCCUCCAGCCCUCCAGCACCAAUCUGUCUCUAGGUGUACCUAUUCCAGACAUUCCCUUCUGUCCAGGUCCUCUACAGUGUUUAUCUUCUAUGGUGUUGCCCUCAUCUAAAGGUUAAAGCUGAGUCACUGCUCAUUUGCUACCCAGCCUGCAGGAAAGGAGAAAAGAGAAUGGAAAAACAUGACGAAUGGUUUGAGAUCAAACUGCAGAAAUGACAUUCAGCAAUUUCGCUCGCGUCCCACAGGCCCCAGUUGGUCCUGUGGUCAUACCUAUCUCCAAAGGAGAGUGGAAAACUUGAGAGUUCGGCUGCUAAGUGAAGAGGAGGCGGAGGAACAUGAGGUAACAGUCAAAGAUGACCUCCACACUUUAUUGGGAGGGAGGCACCUGGACAAUGUAUUUGCAUGGGAUCUAAGAUACUGUACAGCUCUUAUUUCUCUCACUCCUCUGGACUCAGCCCUUUUUGUAUCCCAUGUCCUCCGGAUCAUUCACUGUGUCCAGGAAAAAUAAGGUGCUGUAAUUGACCAUGCCUGGGCCACAAGUACAGGCCCAUCACUAAAAGAGAGGCUACUUGCUGGCCAAUAUAACAACACAACUAAGGACCUCUUUUCCAAAUACUGAAGAUGAAAGCUAGCUUUCUUCUCUCCCCAACGUCAAAUCAUUCCAUGAAGUUUCUGCUAUGCUGCUGGGGCUUAUAUUUUGAUACACCAUGUUAUCAGAUAUUCAUGGAUUGUCUCACUUUUUAUGUAUGAUACUGCCAGUCUCUUGUGAUGGCUGUCAUGAUCAAGUUUAAAGAACAUGGACACUGCAAUCGGAGAGACCUGGGUUCAAAGGCAUCUCUAUCAGUUGUGAAUACAAAUAGUAUCACCAUGAUUGAUCACCACAUAUCAGGCAUGGUACUUUACAUACACUGUCUACUAUUUCUGCUUCUCAUGCAAACCCUGAGAAGCCGUUUGGUCACCAAUUUUCAGAUCUAAAAAAAAUUCAAAGCAGUAAUUAACUUUCCCAAAGAUAGUCAGUACUGGAGCCAAAAAGAGUACUAGCUCAGUGUAACUCUAGAGACUGGAUCACUAGGAUAAAUUGGUUUUCCAUGUUUUCUUUGCUUUGGAAGCACCUACAGAAAUUUUAGUUUUCAAUAGUAUAUAUUGUUUUAGCAAGAAACCUGUGACUUUUGACAAGUUACUUAUCUUUUCCAAAUCUCACAUUCUUUAUCUGUAAGCUUUGAAAGUUGGGACUAGAUUUCUUUUAUUCAUUUCAGUGUGAAGAUCUGAGAGUGUUAUUCUUUCCACUAUUACUGAAUUUCAUGACGCUAACAGUAGAUGGUGCUAUUGAGUAUUGAUUUAAAAACCAGUAAAAACAGUCCUAAUUCCCAAGUACUUAAGUUCUUAUACGGGCAGUAUGUGCCUUUAUAUCAGAGCAUUGGAAAGUCAGGGCUGCCUUGAAAAUGUAUACCUUAGGAGUUUCCCAAGCUCAAAGAUUUGAUGCUACUUUAAAAUACUAAAAAAAAGAGAGGUUUAAAUAUGUAAUCCACAUAUUGGCCCAGACUUUCAUUUGCUGUAUUGGAUAUUUUAAGAUGAUUUAUUAACAUUAAAAUUCUGACUAAAACAGAUGAUGUCCAUUUCCUAAUUAUUCUGAAGAUGAAUCAUAACCACAGUUUUGCACUCUAAGGCCCAUAAUUGUCUUUCAUGUUUAUUACAGGUAUUUUAACUCCAUAUAUAUCUUCCUAUAAUUUAAUCUACAGCAAGGAAAAAUCUUUCAUAAAUAUUUUCCCCUUUAUUUCUUAACUUCAAACAAUUUUAUGAAUGUUUUAAUCCUCAAGAUUUAGUUUAAAAAUAAAUACACAGUUUCAUGCCAUAUUGUUGUUUAGUAGCACAGACCCAUGAUUUUCUGUUAAGGAAAAAUUACAAAAUCAUCUUAUGUGUGGGGAGACAAACCUAGAGAGGUAAAAUAAUUUUCCCAAGGUUAUGUGCCUGCUUAAGCACACAGCUAGUAAAGGCUCCCAGGUUUCCUGCCCUACAGUGUCAGAUACUUUUCAUUGUACUUUCUCAGUUUAUACAUUCACUAGAGUUUGUUUCUGUUUGUCCCUUCUGUUUCAGAAAUUAUUUAAGGCAACAUAUUUUAAUGAUACUUCUUUAUAAAUGUUUUACACUUCUAACACAUUGAAAGUGAUUUUAUCUACAUAAAAAUGAAAGGAGUAGUUGCAAAUGCUAAACAAUCUCCAGAAGCUAUGUACUUUUUGCUAACUGCUAUGCAAGUUUAAAAAUGUAUACAGUUUGAAAGACAGUAGAGACCUAAAUACAUGGAGUGACAUCUUAUGUUUAUAGAUUGGAAGAUAUAUCACUAAGAUGGCAAUGCUCCCCAAUUCGAUCUACAGAUUUGUAUCAAAAUCCCAGCUGGCUUCUUUGUAGAAAUUUGCAAGUUGAUCCUAAAAUAUAUUUCACAAUUCAAGGGACCUAGAAUAGCCAAAACAAUCUCUAAAAACAGCAAAGAUGGAGGAUUCACAGUAAAUACAAACUUACUUGAGAGCUACAGGAACUAAGACAGUGUGGUACUGGCAUAAAGGGAAACAUAGAUCAUGAAAUAGAAAUGAGAGUCCAAAAUCACCCUCACUUUAAGGGCGAUUGCUUUUUGAAAGGGCACCAAGGCAAUUAGAGGAGGAACGAAGAGUCUUGUCAGGAAAUGAUGCCGGGUAACUGGGCCUCCACAUGUGAAAGAAUGAGAUCGCACCCCUACUUCACACGUAUACAAAAAUUAACUCAAAAUUAAUUGAAGACCUACCUGUAGGGGCUAAAGCUGUAAAACUUUUAGAAGAAAAUAUAAGCGUAAACUUGAUGACCUGGAAUAAGGCGAUGGAUUCUGAGAUAUGCCAACAAGGGUAUUAGCAAGAACAAAAAAUAAAUCUCCUGGACAUCAUCAAACCUUUAAAACUAUACUUCAGAGGAUGCUGUUUAAAAGUGAGCAGACAACCCACAGAAUAGGAGAAAAUUUUGCAUAUCGUGUAUCUAAUAUAACCUCAUAAAUAUCUGAUAAAGAUAAGUAUUGUCAAAAACUGGAUUUGGAUCCAAAAAUACAGAUAUACAGGGAAAAAAAAUCUAGCCUAAGUAAAGAACUAUUACACCUCAAUAAUAAAAAAGGCAAAUAGCCCAAUUAAAAUAUGGGUAAAGUCUAGUUAGCAUCUGUCACCAUACACAGUUACAUCAUUUUUUCUUGUUAUGAGAACUUUUAAUACCUAUUCUCUUGCAAACUUUUAAAUAUUUAGACUUACUGUGGUGACCAUUUUGCAAUAUAUACAAAUAUCAAAUCAUUAUUUGUACACCUGAAACUAAUAUUAUAUGUCAAUUAUACCUCAAUAAAAAAUAAAUAAAAUUUAAGGGUAACUCCUAACUAGGUAAAAUCCAUGAUACUACACCUAAGGGUGAGCUGUAGAAUCAUUCUCUUUAAUAUCAGAAUGAGACAAGAUGCCCAUUAUCACUGUUCCUUUUUGAUACUUUUCUAGCUUCCUACAAAAGCAGUUAGGGAAGAAAAAGAAAGUUGUAGGAUUUCAACAGGAAGAAGCAAAAUCUUACUUAGGUAGAAAGGAUAUAAUGGACUAAAUAAUAGUGUACCCUCGUCAUGUUCAUGUGUGCUCUCGCCCUCCCAAAAGUAGAUAGAAGGCAGAGCUCAUAUUUUCAUGUUUCCAGGUUCUCUUAUAGUCAAGGCAUCAUCACUUCCCUGGGGUUUUAUCAGACUUGUAUGUGCAAGAAUCCUAUCUGAAAGUGAAGUACAAGAGGAAACAUUUUUUGAAUGCUUUAAUUUAUGCUCUCAUUAGUAGUGGCAAAAACACCAUAAAGAUGUCAGUUCUACCCAAAUUAAACUAGAGGUUCAGUGCAAUUCCAAUCAAAAUAACCACAGAGAUUUGGUGGAAGUUGACAGACAAAUCCUAAAAUCCCUAUUUAGGUAGAAAGGUCUAAGAAUAGCUAAGGUAAUUUUGAAGGUGAAUAAAGAGAGAUUUACCCCACUAGCAAUCAAGGUGCAUUAAACUUAUAAGGCAAUUAUUAAAAAUCAGGGGAGACAAAGAGGCCAGUGUACUAGGACAGAGAGCUGCAGGAGAGACCAACCUAAAACAUAAACAAAACAAUGGGGAAAGGACAGAUGACUCAAAAGAUGACACUCCUAAGAAACACUUAGCUCUCCCCAUAGAUAGAAAAGAUAACAAAGGAGCCUAAGAAAAUCAGAGUCACUGGGAAAGAAGAACACUCAUCCUGGCCUUCUCCAGGAGUGGUUUUGCCCAUCAGCAGGUGAAACCCCAGACGGUGGUUCUGAGAGUUCUUCCCUAGGACUUGGCUGCUGGGAUUGAAGACUGGCAGAGCCAGCUGCUGCUGUACAGCAAAUGUGGGCUUUGAAAUGCACUUGCCCUGAGGGUCUCCUAUAGAGACUUUGGUAAACAUGGGGCCCCAGAAUGCCGUCUGCAUGGCUUUGCGCAUCAGCCAGAACUGGACUGAGCGUGGUGUUGGAGAAUGUACUCCAGGGAGCUGUUUCAGAGGCUCUGGUCUCUAAAUGCUAUAAGGCUUUUUUGUUGCCCUGGUUAUGGGUGACAGUAAACAAUUGCCAGGGGUCAGAGUAGACAGAUAAUAGUGAUACAUAUUUGCUAGGCUAUUGCAAAACUCUAACUAGAUUAGCAACAUAUUCAUUCUUAGAUCCAACCCCUCUUCCUUUCUGAUGUCUCCCCACCUCGU